This is a long non-coding RNA of Bos taurus (domestic cattle), 606 nucleotides long. Lineage: Eukaryota; Metazoa; Chordata; Mammalia; Artiodactyla; Bovidae. The record is from Ensembl.
GGAAAAGCUCUGGAAUGGUCACCAGGUGGAGAGAUGAGCAAGGGUUGGUCAACCACAGCCUGCAGAUCAUCAGACAUCAGAUCCUGGAGAUUAGGGAUCCCUGCUCUAAAGUAUAGCAGAGUCAUAAGAUGGAAGAUGCCUGGGUCCCUGCAUUACUUUGGGAAGAAGGCCAGUCGAGUCAUAACACUCCAUUUGACUGCUGGAGCUGUGAGAAACAACGUUAAUCAUGCAGGUAGGAAAGCAGAACAUGUCUGUGGUCUCCUAGUCUCAGAGUGAGGAACGGCCAAUGACUCCCUGCAUCUGUACCUGUGCACACCCCAAAGUGAUACUAGAGUGAUGGAUCACCUCAAAGUGAUUUCAGCAACAAAUCCUCCAAACCCAGAGGAGCAGCUGGGGCAGAUGGGAAAAUUAAAGCACAUAUAUCUGUGUAAGCAACUUGUUCCAGGCUCUCAGAGAGGAGUCACCGGCCCAGACUGGUCUAGAACACUGGUCUCCUGAUGACUUGAAUGCAGGACAGUGACUUUCUCAUUUUUGGAUCCCCUGAUCCUAGCACAGAGCCUGGACCUGGUCCACAGUAACUGUUUAAUAAAUGUUUACUGAAUAGAA